GCAUUGGUGGCUCAGUGGUAGAACUCUCUCCUUCCAGGAGGGAGACCAGGGUUCAAUUCCUGGCCAAUGCC
RNAcentral lists this transfer RNA (71 nucleotides) under Loxodonta africana (African savanna elephant). It matches the Rfam family "tRNA". From Rfam's summary of the family: Transfer RNA (tRNA) molecules are approximately 80 nucleotides in length. Lineage: Eukaryota; Metazoa; Chordata; Mammalia; Proboscidea; Elephantidae. The record is from Rfam by way of RNAcentral.